UCCUUCGGGAACUGGAGAGUGGCGCACGGGUGAGUAACGCGUGGGGACCUACCUCUUAGUGGGGGAUAACGGUUGGAAACGACCGCUAAUACCGCAUACGCCCUUCGGGGGAAAGAUUUAUCGCUAAGAGAUGGACCCGCGUUGGAUUAGAUAGUUGGUGAGGUAACGGCUCACCAAGUCAGCGAUCCAUAGCUGGUUUGAGAGGAUGAUCAGCCACACUGGGACUGAGACACGGCCCAGACUCCUACGGGAGGCAGCAGUGGGGAAUAUUGGACAAUGGGGGCAACCCUGAUCCAGCCAUGCCGCGUGAGUGAAGAAGGCCUUCGGGUUGUAAAGCUCUUUCAGAUGCGAAGAUGAUGACGGUAACAUCAUAAGAAGCCCCGGCUAAUUUCGUGCCAGCAGCCGCGGUAAUACGAAAGGGGCUAGCGUUGUUCGGAUUUACUGGGCGUAAAGGGCACGCAGGCGGUCUUGCCAGUCAGGGGUGAAAGCCCGAGGCUCAACCUCGGAACUGCCUCUGAUACUGUAAGACUUG
This 532-nucleotide ribosomal RNA is filed under the name Thalassospira sp. AU813_bs_Ted2_NSW. Its description in RNAcentral is "bacterial SSU rRNA". It matches the Rfam family "Bacterial small subunit ribosomal RNA", at positions 76 to 644 of the family's 1533-position model. Lineage: Bacteria; Pseudomonadati; Pseudomonadota; Alphaproteobacteria; Rhodospirillales; Thalassospiraceae. The record is from RNAcentral.